ACCCGGUUAGCUUAAUUGGAAGAGCGUGAGACUGUAGGUUCAACCUGACCCACUUGCCCUUAAUUCAUCCACUAACAACUCAAUAGUUUAAUCUCAAGGUCGCGAGUUCGAGCCUCGCAUCGGGUG
Aspergillus leporis is the source of this 126-nucleotide non-coding RNA. The record is from the annotation of a GenBank genome assembly. Lineage: Eukaryota; Fungi; Ascomycota; Eurotiomycetes; Eurotiales; Aspergillaceae.